AUGUUGUACAUUUUAUUCCUGGAUUUGAAUUUUGAUGUCUGUACAUAUCAUUUGUGUGUACUGCUACUCCACACCCCAACCAUCAUGUAUGUGUGCUUUUAACACCUCGAUGGGUGCAUUAUGGGCAACUGCCCUCUGCAUUUGGCUGGCUUCAUUAAUACUCAACUGAUUGCUGCAUCGAACACAAUACCAAAUUAAUUGUUUGCUUUAAAUCAGUGUAUUUGUUUAUUAUCUGUUCAGUUUAGCUUUAUUUAUGGGGAUCAGUUUCAACAUUGUGUUUGACUAUUUGUCACUGGUUAGAAGAGGCUCAGCAAAACUGUUCCAGCACAAAAGGCACACAGAUACACCAUUCUGCAUGGCCAUGCAGCUGAAUAGGACAGGUGGAAAAAAAAAAAGUAGUGUUCAAAGGUCGUAUUGUACCAUGUGGCCAAACCGUAGCAUUCUUGGAGUGAAGCUAGCAGGCACAAUGACGUUGAGAUGAUUUAACCCUCCCAAAAAAAAAAACAUGCCAGACAAAAGAACGAAAAUAUAAUUUUCACUGGAAAAAGUCUUGAAGGACCCUCCUUGAGCCGUCACCUUAUCGUGGUGGAGGGGUUUGUGUGUCCCAAUGAUCCUAGGAGCAAUGUUGUCUGGGGCUUUAUGCCCCUGGCAGGGUCACCCAUGGCAAACAGGUCCUAGGUGAGGGACCAGACAAAGCACGGCCUAUCCCCCUUAUGAAGAAGACAAAUUAUGGACUCAGGUUUCCCUUGCCCGGACGCGGGUCACCGGGGCCCCCCUCUGGAGCCAGGCCUGGAGUUGGGGCUCAAAGGAGAGCACCUGGUGGCCGGGCCUGCACCCAUGGGGCACAGCCCGAAAGGGUAACGUGGGUCCCCCUUCCCAUGGGCUCACCACCUGUGGGAGGGGCCAUAGGGGUCGGGUGCAGUGCGAGCUGGGCGGUGGCCGAAGGCGGGGACCUUGGCAAUCCGAUCCCCGGCUACAGAAGCUGGCUUUAGGGACGUGGAAUGUCACCUCUCUGGCAGGGAAGGAGCCCGAGCUGGUGUGUGAGGUCGAGAAGUUCCGACUAGAUACAGUCAGACUCGCCUCCACGGACAGCUUGGGCUCUGGUACCAGUCCUCUCGAGAGGGGUUGGACUCUUUUCCACUCUGGAAUUGCCCACGGUGAGAGGCGCUGAGCAGGUGUGGGUAUACUUAUUGCUCCCCAGCUCGGCGCCUGUACGUUGGGGUUCACCCCGGUGGACGAGAAGGUAGCCUCCCUCCGCCUUCGGGUGGGGGGACGGGUCCUGACUGUUGUUUGUGCCUAUGCACCAAACACCAGUUCAGAGUACCCACCCUUUUGGAGUCCUUGGAGGGGGUGCUUGAGAGCGCUCCCGCUGGGGACUCCAUCGUUCUGCUGGGGGACUUUAAUGCUCACGUGGGCAAUGACAGUGAGACCUGGAAGGGCGUGAUUGGGUGGAACGGCCCCCCCGAUCAGAACCCGAGCGGGGUUCUGUUAUUGGACUUCUGUUCUCGUUCAAGCUUAUGUUCAAGCAUAAGGGUGUCCACACGUGCACUUGGUACCAGGACACCCUAGGUCGCAGUUCGAUGAUCGACUUUGUGGUCGUGUCAUCGGACUUGCAGCCGCAUGUCUUGGACACUCGGGUAAAGAGAGGGGCAGAGCUGUCAACUGAUCACCACCUGGUGGUGAGUUGGCUCUGAUGGUGGGGGAAGAUGCCGGUCCGACGUGGCAGGCCCAAACGUAUUGAGAACAGGUUUUGUGACCUUUGUCAGCUUGAGCCUUGUCUGUUGUUAAUUUCCAACCCUUUCUUGAACGUGGACACAACAUACAGUACAUUACUGAGAAACUAACUGCAAUCUUCAGCUUGGAUGCUGUACAGGGGUCGAUUAGAAUAUGUAACAUUGCAAAAUGAGCUGGACCUCAAAGCUUAUCAGGCUGCACCAAACAUUUGGUGUCUUGUUGACACAGACCAGUACAGUGGUGUCUGUACAGCAGCUAUUAAGGUUGCCAGCUAGUUUGGAUCAACCUAUCUGUGUCAAUCUGCCUUUUCUGACAUGAACUUUAUCAAAAACAAACACAUUCCUAAAUCAUUGUUAAUAAAUACUUUGAGAAAUCAUUAAUAUGAUCAAUUUCUUCAAUAAUAAUGAAUAUGAAUAAUUAUGAAUGAUAACACAUAAUUAGGUAAUCUGAGCAAAUUUGUUGUUUCAUAAAUGGGUAUCAAACUGGUAGCCCUUCGUGUUCAUCAGUAACAAGAAGUAGCUCUUGGUUUCAAAAAGGUUGGUGCCCCCUGUCUCAGUUUAGCAGGUUGAAUGCAAGUUCUACAGGGUCAAAGUUUAGAGAUUGACUUAGCCAGUCUAAAGCUUCCACUUCUUGCCCCUCCUUUGUUGAAUGCCAGUUUGUUUCGCAUCAUUACCAUGCUGCAUGAUGGAGUUUUGUUGUAUUUUUUUUAAUUGGCAGACCGAAUGUUGCAAUUGUUUUUAUUUUUAAUUUUGUCGCUGCCAUCAUGAACUGAAGAUACCAGAAGAAGAACUUUUAGGUUGUUGAUCAGAUCCAGGUGAAACAGGUCCAAGAUGAGGAACCCGAAAAAUCAUGACGAAGAACCCUCCUAUGUAUCAUGUACUUCCCUGCAGUACAGUUUUUGGAGCCUGGACGUCGCUUUGCGCCCUCUCGCCCUCUCUCUCUCCCCUCCCCUCUCUCUUUCAGAACCAUCCUCAAGCUGCACACCUGUCUCCAAUCAGCCCUCGUCACCACCUACAAAUAAGCCUGCCUGUUCCCGGAAAUCCUCGCUAAAGUCUUGCAGCUUAUUCCAGCGGUACCACGACCCACUUACCACACUGUUCCUUGAUUAACUUUUUGACUCCUGUGUCUCUCCUCGUUCCCAGUAUUUCCCCCGUGUUCCUGAUCCACGUCAUUCCUGCCGCCAAGCCAGCCGCCUGUCCUCUCCACUGCCAGCCACCUGUCCACGCCACUGCCAGCCAACGCACCAACAACCACCUCCAUUACCUUCCUAAAUAAACUGUUCAUCGCUAUCUAUCUGCCUCCACCUGCUCUUGGGUCCAGCUGCUCUCCAUACGUGACACUAUGGUGAGAAAUACAGUUGGAUCACAUUUUCCCUGGCCUGAAUGCAUCACUGCAACCCCUUCUGAAGCCAGGCCUGGAGGUGAGGCUUGAUAGUGAGCACCUAGUGGUUGAGCCUGCAUGACUACGCUACGCACAGCCCGAAGAGACAACCACCACGAAAACCCCAUAUACUGUAUGUGACAGAAUGACCCGACGAAAUAAAGACAUAGCGGGAAGUGCACGACGUCGCCCUACACGUCGUCCGUCUGCUUGCCAUCGCCCUCAACCUGUCGACUGAGGCUGAUUAAGCUGAUGCAGACCCUGUUCCUGCACCGCGGCAGCUCAUGGCCCAUGUUCCUGUGUCGGUACCGCAGAAAGUCAUGGUUCCUGUUCCUCUUCUGUUGACGCGGCAAAUCAAAGUUUUGUUUCAUGUCAUUCGGCCAACCCCCUCCCCUUUUCUUUUCCUUUGUCCUUCAGCAGCCAUGUGCGCGAGCCACCGCCGGGAAGAGGACGGUGGUGCUUUCGAUCGAGGAAGCCGGUCAAGUGGCUUCGAUUGCUUUUCCUAGCUGCGAUUGUUUGGCGGACCCUUAGCAAGCACCUACCGGCAUCCCGUACCGGUCACGCACGCAGCGUGACCGGUACGGUCUCAGCCUGCACUGUGUUCUGCUCAGAUAUCAUUCACUGUGACUCCCACUCUCUCUUCUCCACCAUCAACAAACAGCUCAACCCAAUGGGCAAUAUCACGCAGUCAUUUACGAUGAACAAAUGCAAGAACCCCCUGGACUACAAUUGAUAACAUCUGUACUUCUGUACAUCAACAGCUCUCCACACACAAAAAUCUCCAGCCCUGUUCUGCAUUCAAUCCCCACUGAAAUCCCACAGUUCACCCUUGCCUCAUUUUCGCCCGUUACGUCCUCUGACCUAAACAAACAUUUUUUAAAAAUCAAACUUACCACCUGCCCAUUGGAACCUUUCCCAUCUCCACUUGUCAAAUCAUGUGUCCCCUGCCUCACACCACUUAUCCUGGAUAUCAUCAACUCAUCCCUCUCCUUUGGUACUAUCCACUCCGCCUUCAAAAUUGCACACACUGUACUUAAAAAACCUCGACUGGCUCCUGAAAACCUGGAAAAAUUUACAUACACUGCCUGUACGUUAAAAUGUGAUGUUUAGUGUUGUAAAUACUGUUUAAGAGCAUUGUGUGUCAUUAAAAUCAGAGAAAAUAACUUUUUCCUAAACUUUGAAUUCAGCAUGUCACAGUAGCACAAACUAUUUUCUGUCUCUGCAAACCUGAAGGCAUUGGAGGAGUUGAUAUUGUUAUGACUGCAGUAUGUACCAUGCACCCGCCUAUGACAAAAAACUAUUGCAGUCAUUGAAGUAGCAAAUAAUGUUAUUUGUGGACACUGUACUAGUAUGCAUACUGUACGUGAAUGUGCAGUGAUGAGGUUUUGGGAGGAUUUGUGGACUUAUAAAUUAUGUGCUAGAAUAGAAAACCUAUUGAAAAUCAGCCAGGCAAUAAAUCUGCGAUGAAACACUUGGUAUAUGGUAAUUACUGUACAGAUUGUAGUGUUAAAUGUUUUUUUUUUUGUUUUUU
Molecule: long non-coding RNA, 4645 nt
Organism: Phyllopteryx taeniolatus (common seadragon)
Lineage: Eukaryota; Metazoa; Chordata; Actinopteri; Syngnathiformes; Syngnathidae
Exons: 4
Source: RefSeq, a predicted model, not a curated record